This is a non-coding RNA of Sebastes umbrosus (honeycomb rockfish), 717 nucleotides long. Lineage: Eukaryota; Metazoa; Chordata; Actinopteri; Perciformes; Sebastidae. The record is from the annotation of a RefSeq genome assembly.
UUGAAAAAGCAGAGAGUGUUUUCAGUGGAUAGAUGCUUGUUCACAGUGCAGGAGGUUUUUGUACGGCCACUUAAUGAGUUUGUAUCACUGUGGUGGACUUUUGGUGGAGGAACCAAACUCAUCAUUAACUUGGGUGUGGUGCAGCCCACCCUGACCGUCCUCCCCCCCUCCAGAGAGGAGCUGAAGCAGGGCAGUGCCACACUGGUGUGUCUAGCCAGCGGGGGCUUCCCCUCAGCCUGGACGCUGGGCUGGAAGGUGGGGGGCAGCAGCAGCUCCUCAGGGGCGUCACACAGCCUGGUGGUCCUGGGGAGGGACGGCCACUACAGCUGGAGCAGCACCCUGAGCCUCCUUGCAGACCAGUGGAGGAAGGCGGGCUCAGUGAGCUGUGAGGCCAGUCUGAGUGGACAGAGGCCUGUCACUCAAAGCCUGGAGCCUGACCGCUGCUCAGAGUAGAGCUUCAGCAACACUUCCUGUCUGCAAAUGAUGCCGCUUCUUUGACAGAGAUCUGGAUGAAGCUCCAGAUCUCCUCUGUUCACAUGUUUCUGCAUGUUUCACAGCUCUCUACUCGGUGUUUUACUCUGCAUGUUGCUUUCUAAUACUCAUCUUCUGCAUGUUCCUCUUCAUGCUCAUUAAAUGAUUUUCACUCGUAGAGAAACUAUUCAUUCAUCAGAAAUGUGGCAUGAACAUUAAACCAUCAUUAAAUAAAACUGUGGAUUA